Molecule: ribosomal RNA, 332 nt
Filed under: uncultured eukaryote
Lineage: Eukaryota
Description: partial 18S ribosomal RNA
Rfam family: Eukaryotic small subunit ribosomal RNA
Source: RNAcentral
CCCUUAGAUGUUCUGGGCUGCACACGUGCUACACUGGCAGGUUCAGCGAGCUUCAUGCCCUGAUCUGAAAGGAAUGGGAAAUCUUUUCAAAACCUGCCGUGCUUGGGAUAGAUGUUUGCAAUUAUUCAUCUUCAACGAGGAUUGCCUUGUAAGCGCACGUCAUCAGCGUGUAUUGAAUACGACCCUGUAUUCUGUACACACCGCCCGUCGCUCCUACCGAUUGAGGUUUUCGGUGAGUUGACAGGAGGAUUUUUUUGAAACUGGUUCGCCAGUGGAUUUUAGAUCCAAAUGCCAACGAAUCGAUGGCUUUAGAGGAAGGAGAAGUCGUAACA